GCGGCCGCUAUCGCCUCCGCUCUCUGAUUGGCUGUGCGGCGGCCAAUCGAGUGAGGGGGCCGCCAGCCCGUGCGGCCCCACGUGGGGCGGUGCGCGCUGCUGUUAGCGGACCGCAGCGGGCGGGGCGCAUGGUUCGAUCGCGCGCUGCGCGCCUCGGGGACGCGGUCCGCGCCACCCUCAGCCGUCCCUGCCGUCCCGAGGCCCCCAGCGAGCGGCGCCGUGGCUUCGGGCGCGCGGGGCUCGGGGCCAUCGCCGGGUGCUGUGCGGUUCCCGGCCCCGAGGCGCUGGGCCGGCGUCGCGCCUGCCCCCUGCCCACGCGGGAGGGAAGGGAGCGGCGCUCAGGGACCAGGAGCGAAGGCAUUGCCACCUGGCGGGGCGGGGAGGCCAAGGUGGGCUGUGGAAGGAAGAGGCGGGCCUGCCGCUGGUGGUGGUGGGAUCAAUUCAUUCAUUCAUUGAGUCCGUCAUUGACACCUCCUACUCCAGGGCCCUCGGGACACAGACAGCGGUGGCCUCAGCGGAGGUUUGGGGGCUAGCCUCUCCCUAGUUUCCAUUAGUCUCCCCUCCAAACUACUUCAAGUGGAACGUACAAGCAUGUUUUUUGAUAUGGGCAAUUGACACAGUCUUACAUUUUUAUGGCACCCUCAGACAGGGUAUUUGAGGAGAGUUGAAUAAAUGAAAAAUACGUGAAUUAAAGGAGAGCUGUGCAGUAGCCACGGCCAGCAACAAAGGGGAGCUGUUACCCCCUGAGACCUGGAGGGCAGCUGGAGCUACAGGAGAGGCCGUCUCCAGGAGCCCUGACCUUGGAGAGGGACACAGCGACCCGGCAGGGAGGAGCUGCUUCUGUACACUGACCUCACCCCUCCUGACUGCUUGGGGCUACGCAUUGGCUGAACUAGGUAGAGGCCAGAGAGCAAGGAAGCCCCAUGGAUCCUGUACCUACAGUCAGCUUCCCGGGGCACAGAGCAGGGGCUGGGGUGGGGCAAUGGGAAGGUGUCCAGCACCUGUUUUGAAGUGUGAAUAAAAGCAUCGUAGAAAAUG
RNAcentral lists this long non-coding RNA (1038 nucleotides) under Pongo abelii (Sumatran orangutan). RNAcentral describes it as "lincRNA". Lineage: Eukaryota; Metazoa; Chordata; Mammalia; Primates; Hominidae. The record is from RNAcentral.